GGGGUUAUAGGUCAGUGGUAGAGUGCUUACCAAGCAAGUGUGAGGCACUGUGUUCAAUCCUCAGCAACACCU
This 72-nucleotide transfer RNA is filed under the name Marmota monax (woodchuck). RNAcentral describes it as "tRNA.Ala". Lineage: Eukaryota; Metazoa; Chordata; Mammalia; Rodentia; Sciuridae. The record is from RNAcentral.